This 253-nucleotide ribosomal RNA is filed under the name uncultured bacterium. Its description in RNAcentral is "partial 16S ribosomal RNA". It matches the Rfam family "Bacterial small subunit ribosomal RNA", at positions 524 to 776 of the family's 1533-position model. The record is from RNAcentral.
UACGUAGGGCGCAAGCGUUGUCCGGAAUUAUUGGGCGUAAAGAGCUCGUAAGCGGUUUGUCGCGUCUGCUGUGAAAGCCCGGGGCUUAACCCCGGAUCUGCGGUGGGUACGGGCAGACUAGAGUGCAGUAGGGGAGACUGGAAUUCCUGGUGUAGCGGUGAAAUGCGCAGAUAUCAGGAGGAACACCGAUGGCGAAGGCAGGUCUCUGGGCUGUAACUGACGCUGAGGAGCGAAAGCAUGGGGAGCAAACAGG